AUUGAACGCUGGCGGCAUGCUUUACACAUGCAAGUCGAACGGCAGCGCGGGCUUCGGCCUGGCGGCGAGUGGCGAACGGGUGAGUAAUGCAUCGGAACGUGCCCAGUAGUGGGGGAUAGCCCGGCGAAAGCCGGAUUAAUACCGCAUACGACCUGAGGGUGAAAGCGGGGGACCGAAAGGCCUCGCGCCAUUGGAGCGGCCGAUGUCGGAUUAGCUAGUUGGUGGGGUUAAGGCUUACCAAGGCGACGAUCCGUAGCUGGUCUGAGAGGACGACCAGCCACACGGGGACUGAGACACGGCCCAGACUCCUACGGGAGGCAGCAGUGGGGAAUUUUGGACAAUGGGGGCAACCCUGAUCCAGCCAUGCCGCGUGCGGGAAGAAGGCCUUCGGGUUGUAAACCGCUUUUGUUCGGGAAGAAAUCCUCUGGGCUAAUACCCCGGGGGGAUGACGGUACCGGAAGAAUAAGCACCGGCUAACUACGUG
RNAcentral lists this ribosomal RNA (484 nucleotides) under uncultured bacterium. RNAcentral's name for it is "partial 16S ribosomal RNA". It matches the Rfam family "Bacterial small subunit ribosomal RNA", at positions 28 to 507 of the family's 1533-position model. The record is from RNAcentral.